CUUGCCGUUCUUUCUAGUCUCUCCCUCUGUCCACAGCCCCACCCCUCACAGCCCCAAACCCUAGACCUCUCCUUCUCUAUCCAUCUCUUUCUUCAGUUUUAUCAUCUAGAUUUUAAUUUUCCGUCCGAAUUUUCCCGACAAAAUUGAAAGGAAAAGAAGUAAUUAGUGGAAUUGAAAAAGAUUUCCCGGAGGAGAGAAUUGUGGAAAUGGCGACAUCUUCUAUCACCAGCACGGUGUAUAUCCACGUCAUCGAAGACGUCAUCAACAAGGUACGCGAUGAGUUCAUCAGCAACGGCGGGCCUGGCGAGAGUGUCCUCA
RNAcentral lists this unclassified non-coding RNA (318 nucleotides) under Hevea brasiliensis (rubber tree). Lineage: Eukaryota; Viridiplantae; Streptophyta; Magnoliopsida; Malpighiales; Euphorbiaceae. The record is from RNAcentral.